GCUCUGGAUUCAAAUCCUCAUUUCUCAUCUCACAUAUGUUAUGCAAAACACAGCAUGCCCCAAGAACUACUGGAAGAUCUUGAAGUUUCAUCUCUGUUCUCUUCUGCAGGCAACUCCACCUUGCUUUCAAUCUCAUAAAAGAAUCCUUGGCAACCCUUUGAACCUCCUCAAUUUUCUCAUUCAAAGCAUGUUGUGUCCAGGUAAGAUUCUGGUGAGUAUAAGGAACCAAAACCCAAUCCAUUAAUGGAUACCCAGAGCUCCCAACCACCCAAACAUCCUUCAAAACCCCUCGACUCGCCCUCUGGAAAAGGGCAGAAUUUUCCAACACCUGAUCAUCAGUCAUUGAUCCAGGCCACCCAAUACAAAUGUCCGUAAAAACACCCCUAGGAUCAACUACACCUUGAACUGUAAUCGAGUAAGAAGUCUUCUGAUUUCUUUCUGUAUGCCUCUUGUUAAAAUAAGCCGCCACAUUAAUCUUUGGAGCAAUGAUAGGAACAUGUGUUGUGUACAUUGCGCCACCCACAUUUGGAAUCCCCGAAACAAAUUCAAACUCCCUUUUAAUCUCCUCCAUUCUAUUCCCAUCAGGCCACUGCAAGAACUUUGGCAUUAGCACACUCCUUAUAGCAGAACAACCUUCAAGAACCAACUUGUGACAGGUAGAAAUUCCCAGCCCAAAACGCUUUGAAACUUCACGAAGAGCCUCACCCGUGGCCAAUCUCCAUAUACACACCGCCACACGCUGACGAACCGGGAUUGCCAACCGCAGCAUUGUGUCCUUUUUCGUCACGGCUGGUUCGAGCUCCUCACAAAUCAUAUUAAAUGUUGCUCUGCUCAUCCUAAAAGCCUUCUUAAACUCCUCUUCCGGAAAAUCCGGACUGUUAACUUGCUCCCACCAUGCUUUAGACCGGGUUUUCACCCAGAGCCUCCGCUGUGAGCUGCCGCCUGCACCACCGGUCGAGUCGUCUGACGUUGUCAUCACCUCAUAACUCUCCGUACGAGUCCUCUUUGCAUAAGACGAUUGCCCAGAAUUCGAACCCAUAAAAGCAUCUUGAUUCUGAACAAUAUUCAAGUAAUUUUCACUGUCAUCCAUCUUUUGACUCCUUCGCUUAUUUCUCGACUCCAAAAUGGAAUCUUGAUGUGUAUAAUGUACGGGUGAUACGUUCUUCUUUGCUUUCUGCUCUUCCAUUUGACUAUCAAGUCCCAAAAGUUCGCUUAGUAAAUCCGUCCCGAAUUCAUUACAAAACAUUUCAACUCCUGGGCGCUUAUUAGCAGUAUUGGUGAUUGACAUACUAUUGGGGUCUGGUUCUUGAAUUAAAGAAUAGAAGUUUGACGAGUAAUCUUCUUGGAAAAUUGGGAAAGAAGAAAUUUCCAUUAAAUAAUAGUGUGAAAAUGUUUGUGUAAAAGAGGUCUGAACGGGGAAUGUGAACACAGAAGAGUUUUAAUUGAGUCAAUGUAUAAAGAAUGGGAAUGGGUUUUUGAUAUAUAUACAUAUGCACACGGUUUUCAGGGGUGGUGCGGUGGGGUUCAAGGAGGCGUGUGAAACGUGGACGCGGUGGAGGAAGAUUCAGUGGCGGUUUCCGAUGGCGGUGAACUGUGGGCGGGUUUCUUGGAGAAUUUUAUAUAAUUGUUUUACGCGGUCGGAGUUUUGAGAUUAUCCUUAAAGUCCUGUUUGGAAAUGGGCAAUGGAAGUUUCGUAGAGGUAGAGAUAAAGAGUGGGGAAGUUUCUAUGGGACCCCUAAUCUUUCCUUUUGUCCCAAUUCACGUCUCUAGUCUUCCAUUUGGCCAACUUCAUGUCCCGAACCUUUUAAAAUUAUCCACACGGUAUUCCAAUCUAACAAAACCCAUCUUUUAGACUGAUAAAAGGACAUGAAGUAAGAUACGUCAUAAACCGCAAGCAGCCCAACCGAUUUAACGAUGGUCAUGCAACAGAUUGCACGAGCACUUCGAUUAUGAGUCGGAGGACUUACGAACAUAAUUGUCUAAAAAUAAUUUUCCUCCACUUUGAGAACCUCCUAGAAAUAUAAAUUCAAUAAGAAGAUUCUGCAUUUGUUGGGAGAUAUAUUUUUCAACAGUUACCUACUUAAAAAUAUUCGAAGUGUUGGGAGAUAUAAUUUUCAACAAUUAUACUCCUCCGUCAUUUAUUAUGAGCCUACCAUGUAUUCUUUUGCCCUAUAAAUAGAUCAUUUCAUUGAAUUGAAUACCAUAUACACAAUUUUAAAACGUUGGGGACAUAGAGUGGUCCAAGCAAAAGAGUUGGUACACAACGUGGCACAAGUAUAAAGGUUGGGAUCCUAGAGGAAUUUACCUAGAACAUAAUGAAAAUUAGAUUAAUGCAUGUUCGGUAAUCAAAAAAUAAAUUAUAAUUGUAUUCAAAAAUGUUUGUUAUGUUUAAACAUAUGAAGAUAAGUUACUUUUUAUUUAUCUAUAAUCAAUUUUUAUUUUAUUUAUUUAUAUAUUUUUGGAAAUGCACAACAUUUUAAAUGUACCAAUGGUUAUUCACCGCAUUCUUAUUAUUAUCCUCAUCGAUGAAUGGCUAUUUUGAUACUUAUAAAUACACCACUUUUUAAUGAUAUUAGAGUAUCUUUAAGAGAGCAUUUUAUAUUCAAGAAAAAAAAUUCUACGCCCCGAAGAUAAUCCUUGUUUUGGUUAUUCAUUUUUUAUUUUUAUUUUUCGAAGAAACGUUUAUUGAUUUCUUCUUAUAUAUUUAUUUAACAUAUUUUUUUAUAUAUCAAUCAUCAAAUGAUCUCAAACAUCAAAACUUGACGAUUUUUAAUCUCGAUUUCCUCAAUAAUCAACGUCUUGAUGAUUCUAAUCAUUUCUGAACAUUUAGAAUUCAAAUUUACAAGGGUGUCCUCAAUUCAGAGUUUAAUAGAUUUUUUAAUAUUUAUAAAUUUCCAUGGAUUGUAUGGUAUUUAUAGAAAAUAAUAGAUUUCAUAAGAUUCGAAUGAAUUUUUAUUUUGUAAAUUUUAAUAGAUUUUCAUGGAUUUUAUAGAUUUUAGUGGAUUUGGCUAAAAUUUCUACAGUUCUUUUUUGAUCUGCUCAAAUCAUGGCUUACUCAAAAUCCAAACGCAAUAGGAUUCAAGAAAAAUGAGGAGUCCAUAUGCUCUUUUAAAGAUUAUCAUGGUUUUACGUUUAGUUCAUAAAUAUUAUGUAAUGGAUCAUUACAAAAUGGUUUUACCCACAUAUUCAGCAAAAUGCAAGAGAGAGAGAGAGAGAGAGAGAGAAGAAGAAGAAGAAAAUCAGUAGUAUCUUUACAAUAAGAAAAAAUCAGAAUUGUGUGAAAUUAGAGGGAGAAGAAGAAAAAAUGUUCACAUCGAGGGAGGGGGCGAGAAAGAGAAAUAUGUAGAAAGGUAAGAAAAGUUGUGAAAUUUUUAAGUUUGAGAUAAAAUUGUUACAAAUUUUUGGUAAUUAUAUUUAUGGCUUGAAAUCUUUCAAAAUCUAUCUAGGGGGGUGUCCUCAAUAUAGAGUUCUAUGGAUUUUAAAACUCCAUAUAAAUUGAGGUGUCCUCAAUUAAGAUUUAAAUAUAAUUUAUUAAAAUAUAGUUGUUCUCAACCUAGACUUUUAGAAAUAUUUAUAAAUUUAGGUGUCCUCAAUUUAGAUUUUAAUAGGUAAAAUAGAAAUUUACAUGUCCUCAAUAACUACUUGAUUUAAUUAAUUAGAUAGAAUUAGAUAGAUUUUAAAAGAUUUCAAGCCAAAAGUAUAAAUACCAAAAAUCUGUAACAAUUAUAUCCCAACCCCACAAAUUUCAAGGCUUUUCUCGCCUGCAGAUUUGUUGCCCUCUCCCUCUCUGGUGAAAAGGUUUUUCUUCUUCUUCUCCUCCCUAUCUCGCAUCCAUCUGUCAUGAACAGAUCAAUUUUUAUUGAAUUUAUCAAUUUACUGACUUGUUAGUUUCACCAAUGGCCAUUAAUUUCCUAUAUAUUCUGAUGUGUUAAUUUCACCAAUGGCUGUCAAUUGAUUUUUUAUUCUGACAUGUUAAUUUUGGAUUUUUCUUAUUGAAUAUACUGUAGAUUUUUUUCCAUGUGUAAGUAAUUAAGAGUUACAAAAUAUAGUUAUAAUGACAUACACAUUCAUUGAAAUCUAUUUUACCAUAAAUUUUACCCAAAUCGAUGAGAAUAUAUAAAAUCCAUUAAAAUCUAUAAAAAUCCAUGAAAAUCUACAAAAUAGAAAUUCAUUUAAAUCUUAUGAAAUCUAUCAAAUUCCAUACAAUCCAUGAGAAUUUAUAAAUAUUAACAAAUCUACUAAACUCUGAGUUGAGGACACCCCCACUAAUUAAUAAAAUCCUUUUAAAUCAAUUAGUUAUCGAGGACACCUAAAUUUAUAAGUAUUUCUAAAAAUUCAGAUUGAGGGCACUUACAUUUUAAUGAAUUGAAUUUUAAUCUAAAUUCAGAACACCUCAAUUUAUAUGGAGUUUUAAAAUUCAUCAAACUCUAGAUUGAGGACACCCCCUUAGUGAUCUGUUAAAAAUUUGGUUAAAUUAAAAUUGAAGGCAGAUAAAUUACCCAUUUACUUCCAUCUUUUAGUAGAAACUAAAAAUUCCCAAAACAAUAGUGGGGCUAUUUUCGUAACUUUACUUUAUUAUUAUUAUUAUUAUUAUUAUUAUUAUUUUUAUUAUUAUUUUAUUUUAUUUUUGGGUAAAACUCGUAACUUGACUUCCUAAAAAAAGUUUUCAUAAAAACGAAAAAUCAAUGUUUCCCAUGUUAAAUUUUAGAAUUAAUACAAAUAUAGUCCCUAUUUGGCCCCUAAUUAAAUUAAGGGCAUGUUUGAUAUGGGAUUUUUUCCAAUUUCCAAUUUUUUUAUUGUUUGAUAGCAAAAAUUUUCCAUAGAAUUCAUUUUCCAUCUUCCCAGCCCACAUGACCAAUUUCCCAUGAACUGGUAGUGAGAAAAUGAUUUUCAACCUCUUUAAAAAAUAAUAAUAAAAAAAUAAUAAAAUGAAAAAUCGACAAUGGAAACAAAUUCUAUUCACAAUUGUAACAAAUUACAUCCCUUUAAUUGACAAUUUUCAUUAAAAACAAAGUCAAACGAAUAUUAAAAAAUUCAAAAUUUCAACAUUUUCCAGUUAGAAAAUUAUAGUAAUAAAAAACAUUUAAUUGAUAAUUCCCAAUAAAACAAGUUUUAACCAAUUCAAUUCCUUGAAAUUCUUUUUCUUUCUACCCAAAUUUCAUUAUUGCCAUCAAACGGACCCUAAAUUUCAUUUUUUUCUCUUCUUAUCAAUAACACAUUUUUCAAUAAAAUAAUAAUACAUGUAAACAUAAAAUAAUAAUAAUAAUAAAUAAAUAAAUAAAUUCCUUCCUUUUUAAUCACAUAUUCUGAUAUUCUUUAAAAAGUUACUAAUCCUUUCAUUAUAAUUGAAAAUAAUGGAGCCCAAACAAGGGCAUAUACAUGUAAUUUUUAUUGUUUUAAGUAGGUGAAACGCUUAAAAACUUUAAGCUGUGAAUUGUUCUCUUAUAAAUUUGGAUUCUUGAUUUGUAGAAGACACCAAAAAUUAAAAGAAAAAUAAGCGUCUCUAUUCAAUGUUUUCAUAGAGGCUCGCUCUGCUUCCCCUAACUAUGGUGAAAAAGAACGGAACAACCACGUCACAUUUAGAGCAUAUUUGAUUAGAUUUUUGAUAAUAGAUUUUUUGGAAAAAAAAAAUUGAAAAUUUUGAUUAAAAAAAUAAAAAAGUUAUGGGUCCAUGUGAACAAAAAUUUAUUGAAAGAAUGUGCGAUUGAAAAUAUUUUCGAUUUUUUUUCAUAGAAUUUAUAACAAAUACUUAGGAUGAGUUUUAUUGAAUUUAUUUUCCUAAUGAAAAAUUAACAUUUUGUCAUUCAAAUUCCUACUUUUAGGUGUUUGAUUGACUUUUUUCCAUGAAUUUUUUUUUUUAAAAAAUGGUCAUAUAGCCAUAUUUUUCUUAAAAACAAGAAAAUUAUUUUCUUACGGUACUUGUGAUAAUAAGGAUAGUUGUGAAUCCUAAAACAACUGGUUGAACUAAUAUCAAAAUUUUGUAUUAUUGAGGAUUUUUUGAACAUUCUUCAAAUCUAUUCAUCUUUUGAACGAAGUUAAUGAUUUCAGUUGAUGUUUAUUAGGUUAUAACAUUCUUCAAAUCUAUUAGGUUAUUAAAAAUCAAACCUAUUAAAACCGACCCAACCCGGUAAAAAAAGUGAAACCCUAUAUCCAAGUCAAUCUGCACCCCAUCGUAGUAACGUGACGUCCUCGCCUAUCUCUCUAUUGGGUUUGGUCUAUUUUCUUUGUCGAACCAUGUCGGGUUGAUUUAGAAAAUAGACAAAAAUUGGUAGAGUGGAUUUGGGUCAUGUUGGGCAGUUUGGCCUGUUUCCCUCUCCUAGCUCUAGACAAGAAUUGCAAUAGCAGAAAAUGUUGGGAAAUAAUUAGUUGCAGUAAAUUAAAAAGUUGUAAGAACUUAUUGAUUGAUCAAAUAUCGUGACAGCACAAUGUCCUAAGGAAAAAUUGUUAGUUGUUAACUGUUGCGAUCUUUGUGGACAAUCACUUCCAAAAUACAAUGAUCAAACACGUCGCUUAUUCAACAAUCAUGAAUGGUUUCAGGACUUUCAAGUGCACUCAAUAUGUAUGAAAAAUUACAAAAUACCAUGAUUCAAAAAUAUUCGUAGUUUUAUUGAUAAUGAGUUGGUAAAAAACAAUUAUAUUAUAUUGAUUAGUUUGAUUAAUUAAAAAAAUGAUUAAAAAAUAAUAAAAAAUUUGCUUUAAUUGAGGAAGGCCAAGGCCUCAAUGCCCAAUCAAAGACUUUUUAUUUAUCGCGUAGAAUGUAAACCGAACCCCAACCUCCCGCACAAAUUCCAUACUUCUAAUCAAUUGAACACUUGCUUUAACUUUCACAUAAUAUAUUUAUUGUUAUAUAUUUAUUGUAUAAAUAUUUAACAAAAACCAAAUCGUUCGUAACGGUGGAAGCAGUCGAAGAGGCAGAAACGGUCACGGGCACUAGAUGCGUUUGAGUGAAGUAAUAUUGGAAAAUCCAGUUUCGUCUCUCCUUUUCUUUGGCUCCUAAGUUACCCUUUUUCCCAUUUACAGCUUCAAAUGGUGAAGUUCUCCAGAUGGCAUAACAUCUGGGCUUGCACUCAUUGGACAUUGGAUUCCUCCAGAAUUUUGUAAAUAAAUUAUUAUCUGAUUUUUUAUUUUUUUUUUAAAUUAAGCCCCUGACAACCAUCAUUUCAAAAUUUUUUAAUUCUCAUACUCAUUUUCAACCAUACGUUUGCACAAUAAAAUAUUCUGUAUAUAAACUAAAAACUUUUUUCUACUUUUUAACAACGCAUUCUUAAAAAAAUCACUAUUCAAAUCUUCAUUUUCUCAAAAUAAUAAACAUCAUAUAAUAGCUAAAUUAUAUUCCAUGUGGUUUUCCACUAGUUGAAUGGAUCUUGUUCAAAUAUGGAUUGGAAAAGGCUAAAUCAAAUAUAGAGUCGACCAACGAAGUGAUUCGAGGCAUAAACUUCAAUACAGAAGAAUAUAAUGGCUCAAAUAAUUAUAAGACUGUAAAAAUAAGGUCUAAUAUGCAGCUAGAAACAUAAAACACACCAAUCAAAAUGUUAAUAAUGAAAUAAGUAACAUAGUAGUGAUAACAUACUAUGGCCAUUAAUGAGCAAAAGAAACGACAAUCUAUAUAUGAAUCUUGCUUGCUUCGACUUUAAACAGAAACGAAGCUGAAAGAAGAUGAAACAUACACCCGGCGCCAAUAAAAAUAUGCAAGAAAGAGAAGUGAACCUAUAGUGAGAUGAAACAAUUCCCACAAGAUGAUCAAUGCAUUGAUAUAGAGAUUUCGUUCAGGCUGUAAUGGAAUAGAAAAUGCCAAAGAUUCGGCAAGUACACAUUUUACAAUUUCGUAAGUUAUAAAAUAAGCGAAGAGCAUGUUCGAUUUAUCACAAAAAUUCUCUAUCAAACAUAUCUUAAAGCUCAACAAUUACCUUAAAUGAAGUUGCCAAAAUCUUACACUAGAAGCAAAGAACAACUCAAAAGGAUAAACUCAUUAAAUAUCUCAAUAGCCAACACAAUUAUAAGUUGUUUAAGUUCUUGCAAGGCACUAAGAAUUGUUCUGAGGCAGUAAUCAUGCAACAAAUUAUAAUAAUACAAGGCCAAGUUCAGAUGGUUUCAGAGCAUUUCUUAGCCGAUAGUUAUACAGAUAAUAGUAUAGUUGGCCAUCACCUUGUCCAAAUUUGAGUUCCUUCAGAAAAGACUCAUUCUCCAUGACAUCCAGAGCAUUAAAGACGUCAUAAUCCUUCUGUUUUGCAAUAAUAAGGGCAUCAUUCAUCAGUUGAAGCAGUGGAACUCUAGUAGAGACGUUAUAAAAACUAUAAGCUGCUUUCAGAAUUGAGUGAUUCUGGUUGUUAAGGAUGGAUGACGGGAGGGUAUAGAAGCUUAUAAAAUCUGUUAUUUCAUGAGUAUCUUGACUAUCAACAACAUAACUAUCAACUACGUUCUCCUGAGGAAGAAGCCAGUGCUCCACUUCAUUGUCAUCAAAAUCAGGAGCAACAACGAAUUGGCUCAAGUAGUUCUUCAGCAGCCGAGUAACAGCAGGAACAUCACAUAGCUCCAUUUUCCUUAAACCAGGGGUUGAUGUUGAACUUGGCAACUUGUAGAGUUUAAUUGCACGGCUCAUUGUCAUCCGAUCACCAAGCCUAGAGAACCCAACAUCAAUGAGCUUCUUCGGGUUCAAUGUCCUAUGCCAAUAUUGGCACGUGAUGACCGGUGUCGGAAGAAGUACUCCAGCAGUGUAAGCAGCCUGCCAGAUAUUCUCCAAGUGAAUCCUCCUUGUAACUUCCUUAAUCAUCACAGGUGCGAGUCUCUUGGACCUGAGCUUCUUGUGAACACACAAAAAAUUAACCUCGGCCAUUUUCACAAUCUCAUCACGCACCCUCAUUUUUACCGGAAUACCAGUGAUAAAAGCAACCAAUUUCUUCGAAGACUUGACACGAACCCCAAUGUGCCAACUCUGGUAAUAUGCUGGAGGGUGCAGAGCCCAGCGAAGAAACUCCUUUGAGUAAUUAAAUCUGAACAGGUUAUCAUCAUCCUCUACAUAAUUAUUAGUCAACAAUACAUAAACCUCAUUGCAGAUCUCAUCAGAAUCCAUAUCACAAACUGUCCAUUCAUACAAGUUAGGGAGAUUAUAGGGCUCUUGUUUGACCUCGGAUAAUGGUUUCGGCAGCUCAAUGGGGCCCUCGGGCAAACUCGAGUCCCCAACAUCCUUAAACUGACCAACAGGUUGGGUUUCCCAAAACUUGUGCUGUUUAUUAGAAGUACUGGUAUCCUGGAACUUUUGAACUAGGUAUUCAAGGGUAGUUUUAUAGUCAGGAAGCGGGUUUUCCACAGAAUCGUGAUCUGGGUUUUCUUUAUUGGGUUCAGAUGGAGAUUCUUUGUCAGCCAUUUUCCAGUACUGCGGAAAAACAAUUAUUUUCUAAUUAUGAUAGCAUACAACCAUUUUUCGCCAGAAAGCAAACAAACCAUCAGAAGAAAACCAUUCCUAUUGAAAAAAUAAAGAUAUGUACUUCAAUUCAUACAUUCUUUAUCCCAUUAAAAACGAAAAUUACGUAGAAUAAUCAAAUUACGAAUCAAAUCCAGUAAAAAAAUCUUGGAGUAAUAAAACAUUCAGAAACUUACAUUCGGAGUGGCGAUUGUUAAAUGUCAACGGGUGCCUACAAUUGGGAAUUCUUACACUGUUUUUCCACUAGGGUUUAACAUUCCGAGCACGGAAGGAUUUUAGCUUUAUGUUUUUGUAUCAUUUUUUUUUAUCUAAAGUGAUCCCAUUUGUUUGAUUUGGUUUACAUAAAGAUCCCCAAGGAAACAAAUGUGACAGAACGGAACAUUUUCGAGAGAGAGUCAAGAUAUGUGUUUUUUGUGACUUAAAAAUGUCGGCAUUUUACUUUUGUGAUGGAAUUACUCCUUUAGAACGGUUUUCAUAAAAAUUUUAGUUAAAAUGAUUUGUGAAAACCUGCUUUUCUCGAGGGAGCAAGAUGCAUAAAUAACAAUUAUUUUCAAUAAAAGCGAAAGAUAAAAGGAAAUGAAAGUAUAAAAAAUCAAAUCCAAUAUCAUCAACGCCGAAUCUACCUUACAACAUCCGUUCUCUAAUAAUAUUACUAACUCUUAACCCUGAGGGGUAGCUCAGUGGUCAGACUUUGAGUUUGCUCUUCAAUGGUCACCAGUUCGAGUUCUCUCAGAGCCAAUGAGGUGAGUAUCCGUCUGUAAACUUAAGGGUCCCAUGUGAUUAGUCGAGAUGCGCGUAAAUUGGCCCGGACACUCAUGGUUAUAAAAAAUAUAUAUAUAUAUAUUACUAACUCUUCCUCAUCAUACUUGAGUUGCUCCCUUCUAGUCGCUUUUUCCCAACUCUCUACUCUUUUCUCGUUCUCUUGGCACUACUAGUUCAACUUGCACAUAAAACUUUCUUGCAAUUGGUUGGCACAAUUGGUGUAAUAUGUUUGGACAAGAUUGAGUUGGUGCUUCCCGAAAGAAAGCCUUUGGCUGUUCAAUAAGCUACAAUUCUCAUUCGCAAACGAAAUUCAAUCUAUACAGUCUCUUCGUCCUAUAAAAAUAGACUAAUUUUCUUUUUUCAUUUGUUCCAAAAUUAUCGGUGACUUUUCUAGUUGAAAAUAUAGUUAAUUUAUUAAUUCUCAAAUAUGCUCAUAUUUGAUGUGCAUUGUUAUCAACAAAUAUGAAUUACAACUAUUUAUAUUUAAACCAUUACUCAAUGUAACUAUAUAUUAAGAAAAAUAUAAAUAAAAUUUAUUGUUCAAACUAAUUAAUUUUUUUUUUAUUUUUGUAAAAAAUGAAAGCAACUCUCAUGGAAGGAAUAUUUUUCAUUUCCAGAUAUGCUAUGGUUAAACACAUAUUGAAACCAGCGUGAUUCAAGCUUGUCAAGAGUUGCCCUACCGUAAUUGUAGACUCGACGGGCAUGGCGGACGAUCAAUCGGCCAAAUUUAUUGAAAAAUAUAAAAUUUUGAGGUAAACCUUAAAAGAACAACCAGAUUCUCUUUUCAUAUUAAACGAAACCGCUCAUUUUUUCAAUUAAUUUAAUAUUAAUCAAUUCUACUUAUAAAUUAUUACUCCAUCUAUUCCAAUUAUAUAGGCUUGUUUCGUUUUUCACACGAAUUAAGAAAUCUUCUUCAAUGUCAUUGGAAAAUUAUUUUUGCCAAGAUUUUUCCUAGUUUAUCCUCAUUUAAUUUUUAGUAUGUAGUAGUAAAUUAUUGUUGGAAUUAGUAAAGAAUUUGAAUGAUUUAAUUUGAAGAAGAAGAAAUGAGAGUUGUUUCAUGUUUUCAAGAAGUGGGAAGUGUGUAUUUGGAUAAUUUCAAGAAGUUGGUAUAUUAAGUGGGGAAAAUUGAAUAAGAGUAUAUUAAUAAAAGAACAAAACAAAAUAUUUUAAAUUUGGAAACAGUCCUAUAUAUUUGGGAUAAGAGAAAAAAGAAAACUCAGUCUAUAUAAUUGGGACGGUGAAAUAUUUAUAUUUAUAAACAUUAUAGUUGUAGACUAUACCUAAAACUUUCAUUUUUGUACCACAGUCCCAAACAUUUCAUCUCGAUUGUGGUUGGGGAACAUAUGGAUGCAAACCAUCCAUUCCUCCGUUAGUUGAUCAAAAAAAUAAUUUUUUGACUUAUUCUAACCAGUUAAGUGAAGGGUAGAAUGACCUGAUUACUAAUCCCACUUUGAAAUUUAAAAGUGGCAAUUAUGCCUAUACCAAAAGUCAAAUGGAAAUGAACGCUGUACACCAUUCUCUUCCACAAUGGGUUCACAAGAAACCCAUGAUUCCGAAGAUAAUCCCAUAGAAAUUACUUAUCAUCUAAGAGGCUCCCUUCUAGAACCAAGUAUGGUGAGUUUUAUAUUUUUUUAUUAAUUUCAUUGAUAGAACUCGCGUGAAAUGUUCAAUCUUUGGUAGAGAAACAUGUGCAUUGAACAUUGUCGUUCUUUUCUUGUACAUAGAUGUUGUAUUCGAAUUUUGUUUUCAUUAUUGUCACUAUAGCAAUAUACCAGGGUUUGGAUAUAUUUUCUCUAUUUAAUCGAUAUUCGUAUGAUGUGCUGGAGUUAAUUUUAUGUAGUUCCAUGUGAUUCUACACACUUUGAUUGGAGUUGCAAACUUUUUUGGUUCAGAGGAGAGUUCCUGAUAUUUAAAAAUACAACUGCACCAUGGUGGAAUAUUAUUUGCAAAGAUGCGAAAUUUGUGUAUGAACAUGGUAAGAUAAGUUAUUUAAACUAUGUUAAUCCUGAAUUGUUUAAUAGAUUUCUACUUAAUAGUGCCAUGAAGAUGUUGGGAUAUUUUGAGCAAAUGCGGUUAUCUUUAUAGGCUUGAAAGAAGAUUGAGUGAGGAAUCCUUUUGGUUAGUAACUGAUGACGAUUUCAUUAAUUUGUUAAAGUUACUUGGUGAGAAAAGUGUUGUUGAUCUGUAUUAUUUGCCUGUAGUAGAAGUUUUGGGAUUAUCUUGGGAAGAUAUAAUAACUUUUAAACUUUGUGCUGUUGAUCCUGAAACUCAUGAGAGUUUGGAUAGUAUGAAUAAGACUUGUGAACCAAUCAAGAAUAAGAAAGCUAAUCAAACAUAAAUAGAUUAGAAAGCAUAGUAUGUUGUAGAGGUAUUUGAUGAAAUAUUGAAAGGUAAUGAUAUGUAUAUUGUUGAAAAACCAUGUUGAAGAGAAAAUAUAAUGGUUGAGAGAGAUGUUGAUGAUGAAAUUUUAGGUGCGAAUUAAACAUUGGUUGAGGUGCAGAUGAUGGCGGAGCAACAAACUGAGGUUUAUGGUAAGCAGAACUUAGGUGAAUAACAUGGACCAGAAGUGGAUAAGCAGAACUUUGGUGAAUUGCAAACAUGAAGCAGAUCAAAAUAAUGGGGAACAAGCUGUUGAGCACAUUGAGAAGAAAUAGAGGCUUCCCAUCGAGGUUACAAAUGAAGAUACCGAAGUUGACACAACUUAAAUUGGCGAUGUUAUAAAUGUUAAGGUAGAAGAGGUUAAAGAGAAAAUGGCUGAGGACUUUGAAGAAUAGUUUGAUGUACAUAUUGGGGUACCAACAGAAGAUGUUGAUGAAGAAUGUGUUAGAAGAUUUCACUAAUCCUGUGUCUGAGCACGAUAAAUUACAAAAUGAUGAUCAUGAUUAGGAUAUAUUUUUUGAGUGUAGUGAGGGAUUUGAUAUUGGAAUGGAUAAUACAUGCAAUCAAGAAAAACAAAAGCAAACAAUGAUGAAGAUGCUGGAAUAGAAUAUGGGGAUUCAGAUGAUUUAAGAAGUAUGACUAGUGGAUGAGGAAGAAGAAGCAUCAAUUUCCAAAAAUAAAAAUGAAAGUUAGUUCAAUCCUACAAUAGAUAUGAAUAACAAUAAACUUAAUAUUGAUAGUGUAACCUAAUCAGUUAGACUUUUCUGUUGGGAAGUAGCAGGGAUCCCAGUUCUUUCACUUAGAUUCAACUGAGUAAAGGUUUGGGACCCAGCUCCAACAUCCAUUUUCUCUUUUAGAAUUCAUAUAUGAAGCUAUCUAAUAUUCUUUUCGACCUCUAUUGAUUGUUUGUUGAAUUUGUUGAGAUAGCUUUUAAGCGAUUCACUUCUUCCUAGCUUGAUGCUUACCAGUCAUUCUUUUGGUGUGGUUAUGAUCCUAGAGCCCAUGAAUUAGGCCAAGAAUGUCAUAGCUAGGUCAUUCCAAUUUUUUUACGGACUUUUGGUGUAACCUUCUAAACCACCUUUAUGCCUUGUCUCCCAUGGUCAAGGGAAAAGCAUGGUACGUGAUAGCAUCACUUGCU
RNAcentral lists this long non-coding RNA (13700 nucleotides) under Olea europaea (common olive). RNAcentral's name for it is "long non-coding RNA (OEUR_LNC003125)". The record is from RNAcentral. Lineage: Eukaryota; Viridiplantae; Streptophyta; Magnoliopsida; Lamiales; Oleaceae.